This 73-nucleotide transfer RNA is filed under the name Gemmatimonadaceae bacterium. RNAcentral's name for it is "tRNA-Gly". It matches the Rfam family "tRNA". From Rfam's summary of the family: Transfer RNA (tRNA) molecules are approximately 80 nucleotides in length. Lineage: Bacteria; Pseudomonadati; Gemmatimonadota; Gemmatimonadia; Gemmatimonadales; Gemmatimonadaceae. The record is from RNAcentral. RNAcentral also lists the same sequence under 2 other names.
GCGGGCGUAGCUCAGUUGGUAGAGCGCAAGCUUCCCAAGCUUGAUGUCGUGGGUUCGAGCCCCAUCGCCCGCU